UUUUAAGGUGGCAAUUUCUUAGGCACGACUGACUCCAUAGCCUGUAUGUGCGUUCUCAACUCAUUCACUUCUGCUUUUAAGGUGGGAAGUUCUUCAGCUUCCUUACGAUCAGCCUGCCCCCUCUUAGAAACUGAAACUUUCAGGGGAGCCAACCGCGUGUGAAUGCCUGUCAUCACUUUUUCUGAUGGAUUCACUGCAGCAGUGGCUCCACCCUCCCCUGCAACAAGAGUAGACAGCUGAUGUGCAGUAGCUUUUGGCUUAACAAGGUGGGAACACAAUUUGUUAGUUUCUAAAUGGCUACGCAUACGCUCUUCUUUGGAAGCCUGCUUAUCUUUCUCAGCCCUAACAGAUACUACUAACUCAGCAAACGAAGCACAAAGUACUGCAGACACAAUGGGUUCCGAAUAUGGACCAGCUUUUCGGAAGUUCAGAUUCGCCUAUGGAGAAUAAGGAGCUCAACAACAACAAUGAAUCAGUCAGACACGAUUUCAAAGACUUCAAAUGAAAAUUCAGGAAUCUCAAAUGGGAAUUUCAAACACCCUUCAGCACAACCUUCAAAUCAGUUAAUGAAGUUAACUUUUGUUUGCUUCUCUUUUG
Molecule: long non-coding RNA, 597 nt
Organism: Labeo rohita (rohu)
Lineage: Eukaryota; Metazoa; Chordata; Actinopteri; Cypriniformes; Cyprinidae
Exons: 3
Source: RefSeq, a predicted model, not a curated record